CCACACACUGAAUCUGAAACCAAUCUGGGCUGGGGGAAAUGUCUCAAAAACAAACUGACAAACUUGACAGUGUCAGCAUCUAAGAACUUCAUUACUAGGUCAGGGUCUCUGCCUGGAACUCAGAGAUCCGUUCACCUCAGUGCUGAGAUUAAAGGUGUGUGCCACCACGCCCACCCAGCUAAAACUUUUUUUUUCUUUUGGCAUAAAGCAGUUGUUUCUGAGUUUAGCUCCACUUUAGAGCUUUGAUGUAUUCCAAAGGCAACGAUGUCACUAGCGAGUGACCGGGACGCCCUAAACUGUAUAUGUUCCCCAAGGCGU
This 318-nucleotide long non-coding RNA is filed under the name Mus pahari (shrew mouse). RNAcentral's name for it is "lncRNA (MGP_PahariEiJ_G0004606.1)". Lineage: Eukaryota; Metazoa; Chordata; Mammalia; Rodentia; Muridae. The record is from RNAcentral.